AUGGGAUGGUUGAGGCCGGGGCCACGCCCCCUCUGCCCCCCUGCGAGGGCAUCCUGGGCUUUCUCCCACCGCUUUCCGAGCCCGCUUGCACCUCGGCGAUCCCCGACUCCCUUCUUUAUGGCGUCGCUCCUGUGCUGUGGGCCGAAGCUGGCCGCCUGCGGCAUCGUCCUCAGCGCCUGGGGAGUGAUCAUGUUGGUGAGGGGACUCCCCGGCAAGGAUCGGAGAGGGCCUGAGGGGCUCCGGGCUGGGAGGGCUGGGAGGCGAGGAAACUCUGGGCCGCAGGCAGGCCGGAGGGGCCGGGGAUCUACAGGCCCCGGAGAAGGAGACAGACUGAAAUUGAAAAAUGGGAACUGUUCGAGACCAGCCUGACCAACAUGGUGAAACCCCGUCUCCAAUAAAAAUACAAAAAUUAGCCGGGCGUGGUGGCGCCCGCCUGUAAUCCCAGCUACUCAGGAGGCUGAGGCAGGAGAAUCGCUUGAAUCCGGGAGGCGGAGGGUGCAGUGAGCCGAGAUCGCGCCACUGCACUCCAGCCUGGGUGACAGAGCGAGACUCCGUCCCCAAAGAAAAAGAAAAAAGGGAACUGGAGCGGAGGGCCCUGGAGUGGGAGGAGCCAGGGCUGGUAAAGGUGGAGACCCCUCAAGGUAGGAGAAACAAGAGCGGGGUGCCUGAGAGGUGCUUGAGUUGAAUGGAGGACAUGGGAGGAAAAGAGAGUGCUUGUUCCAGAAAUGUGUAGCUGGGCCUUGUUUUCCCAGUAAUCCACCCACCGCCACUUCAAGAAGAAAUGAUAUGAAGAAGUGCCGGUUCUCCCUCCCCUCUUCCGCACUGUCCCGUGAUGAUGACGCCUCCAGAGAGGACGAUAAUCUGGGUUCCUGGGAGAGAUGGCUUGGUCACUAUUCCCACCCUUGCCUCGACCACUUGUCUCAAUGUCACCACCUCACGCCCUGUUCCAGGUGGCUGAGUCCGAAUCCAGAAUGGCCCCCAGAACAUAUACAACCUUUACGAGCAAGUCAGCUACAACUGUUUCAUCGCUGCAGGCCUUUACCUCCUCCUCGGAGGCUUCUCUUUCUGCCAAGUUCGGCUCAAUAAGCGCAAGGAAUACAUGGUGCGCUAGGGCCCCGGCGCGUUUCCCCGCUCCAGCCCCUCCUCUAUUUAAAGACUCCCUGCACCGUGUCACCCAGGUCGCGUCCCACCCUUGCCGGCGCCCUCUGCGGGACUGGGUUUCCCGGGCGAGAGACUGAAUCCCUUCUCCCAUCUCUGGCAUCCGGCCCCCGUGGAGAGGGCUGAGGCUGGGGGGCUGUUCCGUUUCUCCACCCUUCGCUGUGUCCCGUAUCUCAAUAAAGAGAAUCUGCUCUCUUCAG
Molecule: unclassified non-coding RNA, 1358 nt
Filed under: Homo sapiens (human)
Lineage: Eukaryota; Metazoa; Chordata; Mammalia; Primates; Hominidae
Description: ribonuclease kappa transcript variant 14
Rfam family: Metazoan signal recognition particle RNA (bases 413-560)
Source: RNAcentral